CCUACGGGUGGCAGCAGUGAGGAAUAUUGGUCAAUGGCCGUAAGGCUGAACCAGCCAAGUAGCGUGAGGGAAGACUGCCCUAUGGGUUGUAAACUGCUUUUGUACAAGGGUAAACCUGAAUACGUGUAUUCGGCUGAAAGUACUGUACGAAUAAGGAUCGGCUAACUCCGUGCCAGCAGCCGCGGUAAUACGGAGGAUCCAAGCGUUAUCCGGAUUUAUUGGGUUUAAAGGGUGCGUAGGUGGAUUGAUAAGUUAGAGGUGAAAUGUCCGAGCUUAACUCGGGAACUGCCUCUAAUACUGUUGAUCUAGAGAGUAGAUGCGGUAGGCGGAAUGUAUGGUGUAGCGGUGAAAUGCUUAGAGAUCAUACAGAACACCGAUUGCGAAGGCAGCUUACCAAUCUAUAUCUGACGUUGAGGCACGAAAGCGUGGGGAGCAAACAGGAUUAGAUACCCCAGUAGUC
Molecule: ribosomal RNA, 460 nt
Filed under: uncultured bacterium
Lineage: Bacteria
Description: partial 16S ribosomal RNA
Rfam family: Bacterial small subunit ribosomal RNA
Source: RNAcentral